RNAcentral lists this long non-coding RNA (516 nucleotides) under Hordeum vulgare. RNAcentral describes it as "long non-coding RNA (HVUL_LNC008811)". The record is from RNAcentral. Lineage: Eukaryota; Viridiplantae; Streptophyta; Magnoliopsida; Poales; Poaceae.
GAAUUUCCGUGAGCAGCAUUUAUCGGCACAGGUUUUCAGCCUUUCGAUCGAGCAACACACGGACAUGGGAUCCGUUGAAAGUAUAUCCGCACAUGUUGGUUGGUCAACACCAAGGAAGAUAAAUUGCUCCUGCUAGAAAGAGUAAUAUAAUUUGCUAGUCGGACAUAAACUAUGAAUGGAGGAUCAAACCAACCCUAUAUCGACAAAUUUCGGCAAAAAUUAAAACUUCAGGAGGAGUAAACCUGAAUGUAGAUUCGAGAUGGUUUGUCUGAUUGUCGUCUUCUCCCCGCUCCAAGAAAAGUACAUUCUUUUUCUCUUCAUGUGUCAAUUUGAAGAAAGCAUUCGGGCCUUUCAGUCUUGCAGCACGUACAUGGAGUCUAUUCAAUCAGCAUUUUCUGUUGGUGAAUAACCUAUAAAUUUGUUUUGCUAAUAGAGGUAAGUUAUUUGCUGGUGGGUAUUAAACUGUAAACAAAGGAUCAAACUAACUGUAGAACAUUUUUUGACAGAAGGUAAAAC